Molecule: ribosomal RNA, 119 nt
Filed under: Pteropus alecto (black flying fox)
Lineage: Eukaryota; Metazoa; Chordata; Mammalia; Chiroptera; Pteropodidae
Source: RNAcentral
GUCUAUGGCCAUGCCACCCUGAGUAAGCCUGAUCAAGCCUGAUUUUGGAAGCUAAGCAGGGUUGGGGCUGGUUAGUACUUGGAUGGGAGGCCACCUAGGAAGACCAGGUGCUGUAGUAG